This 451-nucleotide ribosomal RNA is filed under the name uncultured bacterium. RNAcentral's name for it is "bacterial SSU rRNA". It matches the Rfam family "Bacterial small subunit ribosomal RNA", at positions 29 to 526 of the family's 1533-position model. The record is from RNAcentral.
AACGAACGCUGGCGGCAGGCCUAACACAUGCAAGUCGAGCGAGACCUUCGGGUCUAGCGGCGGACGGGUUAGUAACGCGUGGGAACGUGCCCAGCUCUGCGGAAUAGCCUCUGGAAACGGAGAGUAAUACCGCAUACGCCCUUCGGGGGAAAGAAUUUCGGAGUUGGAUCGGCCCGCGUUAGAUUAGGUAGUUGGUGGGGUAACGGCCUACCAAGCCUACGAUCUAUAGCUGGUUUGAGAGGAUGAUCAGCAACACUGGGACUGAGACACGGCCCAGACUCCUACGGGAGGCAGCAGUGGGGAAUCUUCGGCAAUGGGCGCAAGCCUGACCGAGCCAUGCCGCGUGAGCGAUGAAGGCCUUAGGGUUGUAAAGCUCUUUCGCCAGGGAUGAUAAUGACAGUACCUGGUAAAGAAACCCCGGCUAACUCCGUGCCAGCCGCCGCCGUAACAC